Molecule: ribosomal RNA, 675 nt
Filed under: Triticum aestivum (bread wheat)
Lineage: Eukaryota; Viridiplantae; Streptophyta; Magnoliopsida; Poales; Poaceae
Description: partial small subunit ribosomal RNA
Source: RNAcentral
AUGAAUACUGAGGCAAAGAAGACACUCAAACUGGCUGAUCAUCUUCAUUUGUGGGUGGUUCCUCCAGGAGGCUGGGCUAAAUUAAACAUGGAUGGUUCUUGGUCGUCAGAUGGAAGGGCUGUAGCUCGAAUGAUUCCCCGAGACAACACAAGCAAUAUAAUUUUCUCCUCAUGCAAGGAACUUAUUUUCCCUGUAGAGAUGCAAUGGAAGCCGAGCUCUGCUUGUAUGGAGGGUCUAUCUUUAUCUUUGCAACGAUCAGUUCUACCUAUUCUGCUAGAGGUGGAUUUUGUCCCAGUGGUGAGCAUUCUCGAGGAUGAAGUUGUUGACAGAUCACUGCUUGCUUCUUUGGCGGCAGAGAUUAAAUAUCUGUUUUCCCUUCAUAAAACUUGUAUUACUCAAAUUAAGCGUAGCCAAAAUGUUGUUGGUGAUUUCUUGGUAAACUUUGCUAGAACUGAGAAUAGAGCUGUUGUUUGGUUGGGCUCAGGGCCACCAGAUGUAGUAGAAAAUGCACCAUUAGUAUCUUGGUUUUGUCCAUGUGCCAACAACCUUGAUACCAAAUUUUGGACCCUUCAAAGCUCAUCGACUUGGUUUAGCCUACAUAUUUACUCUAUCGCAAAGUGCGGAAGGCGUCUGACAAAAGGUGUGCACAAGCACAAGGUCUUACACACUACAUAA